RNAcentral lists this transfer RNA (77 nucleotides) under Amplisiphonia pacifica. RNAcentral's name for it is "tRNA-Arg". It matches the Rfam family "tRNA". Rfam says of the family: Transfer RNA (tRNA) molecules are approximately 80 nucleotides in length. Their secondary structure includes four short double-helical elements and three loops (D, anti-codon, and T loops). Lineage: Eukaryota; Rhodophyta; Florideophyceae; Ceramiales; Rhodomelaceae. The record is from RNAcentral.
GGGUUUUUAGUUUAAUCAGGAAAAAACAUCAAUCUUCUAAAUUGAAUAUAAGGGUUCGAGUCCCUUAAAACCCACCA